RNAcentral lists this ribosomal RNA (865 nucleotides) under Microdochium bolleyi. RNAcentral describes it as "LSU rRNA". It matches the Rfam family "Eukaryotic large subunit ribosomal RNA", at positions 76 to 967 of the family's 3401-position model. The record is from RNAcentral. Lineage: Eukaryota; Fungi; Ascomycota; Sordariomycetes; Xylariales; Microdochiaceae.
UGCCCUAGUAACGGCGAGUGAAGCGGCAACAGCUCAAAUUUGAAAUCUGGCCUUCUGGUCCGAAUUGUAAUUUGUAGAGGAUGCUUUUGGUUAGGUACCUUUCGAGUUCCUUGGAACAGGACGCCUUAGAGGGUGAGAGCCCCGUACGAUUGGAUACCGAGCCUCUGUAAAGCUCCUUCGACGAGUCGAGUAGUUUGGGAAUGCUGCUCUAAAUGGGAGGUAAAUUUCUUCUAAAGCUAAAUACCGGCCAGAGACCGAUAGCGCACAAGUAGAGUGAUCGAAAGAUGAAAAGCACUUUGAAAAGAGGGUUAAAUAGUACGUGAAAUUGUUGAAAGGGAAGGGCUUAUGACCAGACCUUUGCCUUGCGGAUCAUCCGGUGUUCUCACCGGUGCACUCCGCUUGGUUGAGGCCAGCAUCAGUUUUGGCGGCCGGAUAAAGACUUCAGGAAUGUGACUCCUCCGGGAGUGUUAUAGCCUGCUGUGUAAUACGGCCGCUGGGACUGAGGACCGCGCUUCGGCUAGGAUGCUGGCAUAAUGGUCAUCAGCCACCCGUCUUGAAACACGGACCAAGGAGUCGAACAUUUAUGCGAGUUUUUGGGUGUUAAACCCUCAAGCGUAAUGAAAGUGAACGGAGGUGAGAGCCCUUACGGGUGCAUCAUCGACCGAUCCUGAUGUCUUCGGAUGGAUUUGAGUAAGAGCAUAACUGUUCGGACCCGAAAGAUGGUGAACUAUGCGUGGAUAGGGUGAAGCCAGAGGAAACUCUGGUGGAGGCUCGCAGCGGUUCUGACGUGCAAAUCGAUCGUCAAAUCUGCGCAUGGGGCGAAAGACUAAUCGAAACCAUCUAGUAGCUGGGUUACCGCCGAAGU